GAUUAACGCUGGCGGCGUGCAUAACACAUGCAAGUCGAACGAUGAAACUUAAAUGAUUUCUUCGGAAUGAACUUAAGUGAAUUAGUGGCGGACGGGUGAGUAACGCGUGAGUAACCUGCCUUACACAAGGGGAUAGCCGUUGGAAACGACGAAUAAUACCCUAUGAAACUAUCACUUCGCAUGAAGCGAUAGUCAAAGUGUUAGCGGUGUAAGAUGGACUUGCGUCUGAUUAGCUAGUUGGUGAGAAAAAAGCCCACCACGGCAACGAUCAGUAGCCGGCUUGAGAGAGUGUACGGCAACAUUGGGACUGAGACACGGCCCAGACUCCUACGGGAGGCAGCAGUGGGGAAGUUUGCACACUGGGGGAAACCCUGAUGCAGCGACGCCGCGUGAUUUAGAAGGCCUUCGGGUUGUAAAAAUCUUUUGUAUAGGAAGAAAAUGACAGUACUAUACGAAUAAGGUCCGGCUAAGUACGUG
Molecule: ribosomal RNA, 477 nt
Filed under: uncultured bacterium
Lineage: Bacteria
Description: partial 16S ribosomal RNA
Rfam family: Bacterial small subunit ribosomal RNA
Source: RNAcentral